UUGAAAGGGAAACGAUUGAAGUCAGUCGUACCGACGAGAAAUCAACUUAUCGUGUGCGAACUUGUGGGCGUGCGUGAGUUUCGGCCUCGCUGUUUGCAUGUUUGUGCGUUUUGGGUGUACUUUUUCGUAUGGUAGGCCAACGUCAGUUUCGAUUAUCAUAAAAUGACCGGCGGAAUGUAGCUUCGAUUUCGGUUGAAGUGUUAUAGCCUCUGGUAGAUGUGGUGAUUGAGACUGAGGAUUGCAACGAAUAUCCUUUGGGCUAUCCGUCUGGCCUCUGAAAGUUGCUCAGGUGCCGAAAGCGUGCUUACGGUCAUCUAAGAUAACGUUCAACAGGUUAGAACGUGAUUACAUUCGUUAAGGAUGUUGACGUA
Molecule: ribosomal RNA, 371 nt
Filed under: uncultured Glomeromycotina
Lineage: Eukaryota; Fungi; Glomeromycota
Description: eukaryotic LSU rRNA
Source: RNAcentral